ACACGACUACAUUAGAUACCCCGGUAGUCCUAGCCGUAAACGAUGCUCGCUAGGUGUCGGCCACGGUGCGACCGUUGUCGGUGCCGUAGGGAAGCCGUGAAGCGAGCCACCUGGGAAGUACGGCCGCAAGGCUGAAACUUAAAGGAAUUGGCGGGGGAGCACCACAACGGGUGGAGCUUGCGGUUUAAUUGGAUUCAACGCCGGAAAUCUUACCGGGACCGACAGCAACAUGAAGGCCAGGCUGAAGACUUUGCCGGAUUAGCUG
Molecule: ribosomal RNA, 265 nt
Filed under: uncultured archaeon
Lineage: Archaea
Description: partial 16S ribosomal RNA
Rfam family: Archaeal small subunit ribosomal RNA
Source: RNAcentral